Molecule: long non-coding RNA, 1232 nt
Organism: Anguilla rostrata (American eel)
Lineage: Eukaryota; Metazoa; Chordata; Actinopteri; Anguilliformes; Anguillidae
Exons: 3
Source: RefSeq, a predicted model, not a curated record
AAAGACCAUGAUCACUGCAACGCACUCAUUUGCCCAAAUGCUACAGAAACGAUUCACCAUCCACCAUAAACCGAGCAUCAGAGCAGUGAUACGACUCACAAUGAGACAAGUCCCAGUGAACAUGCCCAGGGCUUGUUUCUUCAAACUGAGAACCAGCCUAAAAGUGGUCAUUGACAAUGACGUUACAGAAGACAUGAAGAAGAAAGAUUUAUUCUGGAAGAUAAGACAGUUUGCAUUUGCCAGGGCUGCUUGCUUAAUAUCAAGUUAUCGAGUUAUCUUAUCUAUCAAGUUGAGGAGGACUCCAUUCACGUGGCCUGCAAAUGAGAAAUUGAGUUUUGGUUGUAGCAUGUCUGGCUGAAACCCUGUUUCCUGGUGCAAAGAUAUAGGUUACUGUAAUCGCUACUUUACGAACAUGAAGAUUGUAGAUUACAUGUUGGAGAACCAGAUGUACCUGACUGGUACAGUUAAGAACCGUGUCACCGAGGCACUAAAAAAGCUACCAUAUAAUAUAUACUUCAAAUUAUAAUUCAAAUUCUAAUAUUUUAAUUAUAUUAAUUAUAUUAUCUAAAAUUUAAAUAAUAAAAUUUUAUAUGACUAGUUGUCCUGAUACGAGGACAUCAUUUUUUUCAAAGACAUCUUCCUUUUCAAAGACAUUGCUUAGUUUCCACAGUUAUCAAGCCCUACUAGUUAUAAAUAGCAAGAAGAAAUUAAAAAUGCACACAAAAACAUGAUCUGGGUCUCAGGAGGGUAUGGAAGGAUCCCAAAGCGCUCUUUUUUUUUUUUUUUUUUUUUUUUUUUUUUAGAAGGGACUUAAAAAUGCAGUUUUUAAUGACUUUGGGAAAAUUCUUGAUAGGAGUGAGCCAUUCACCAUUUAUUGUAAAUCUGUUGCCAGGCAGUUGAAAACAUUUUAAAAAACCCAGUGAGCAGAGUAUCAAGACAGCAGGUAGACUGUUUAAAAUGCCGCACUGUUUCUUCAAGAUUUUUGCAGUCCAAAGCACUAAAUUGUGACAUAGUAACUCCUAUGCAGUGAUGGAGAUGGCAUAGCUUCAUUGAUUGACAGAGGUAUUUAUGGCCAUUCUAAUGUUUUUUACUUCAUCAUUGAAGAAAGAUGCAAACUCAUUACAUUUUUGGCAGAAAUGAGUUCAGGGGCUGACUGUGUUGGGGAAUUUGUUAACCUGUCAACUGUGGCAAAUAAAGUGUGAGUAUUGUUGAUGUUCCUGUUUGAGGAAUAA